UUUCAUCAUUAGUUAUCACAUUUAAUUAAAUUAUAUGAUGACAACGGUUAUGAAGAGAUUUAAGAAUUAACUCUUAGACAAUUCACCUGGUGAGAGCGCAAGUGCAUGGGACUAUUAGAGAGGAUUCUAUAUUCUAAGACAGUUGUAGUUACGUGUGCCAUCUCACAUGCUCAUCUGGAAUCUGUGUCCCUCUCCUUGAAGCUGGAGGGGCCUUGGUGACUUGCUUGACAGAGUAUGGUGAAAAUGAUGCUGUGUGACUUCCACGCUUCAGUCACAAAGAUGCCACACCCUUCUGCCUUGUUCUUUUGUCACACUGCCUCUUGGAAUGUGGCCACAUGCUGCAAGGAAGCCCAAGCAAACUGUAGAGAUGCCACAUGGACAGAAACCAAGGCCCAUAGCCCCUAGUCCUGACUGAGCUCCCAGCUGGCACCAGCACCAACAUGCCAGCCAUGUGAAUGAACUACCUCCAGUCCCAGUCAAGCCACUCUACCUCACACCAUGCGGAGUAGAGAUGAGCCAUCUCUGUUGAGCACUUCCCAAUCACAGACACCUGUGCCCAGCUGAGACUGCCACCUCCCUACCCAAGGACAGAUAUUCUUCUGGUAAUGACAACCAAGUAAAGUGCAAGUGUUUGGAGCUAAUGGCUGCCUUGUUGCCCAGUAGAAGGUUGUAACUGUACGUUUAGGAGAUCUAUCUGACCCCAUUCAUUGCCAGUGAAUUCCACUGGACUUCUUAAUUCAAGAGACAGUCCCUGGGUAAAGGAACUCUCAGCCAUAAAGGGAUUACUAAGAAACUGAAGCAGAGUGCUCUGUGAUGGGGUCCUCAUGGAGCCUGAGCAGUCAGGAAGAAGUAUGCUGUGGCAAAAAAAAAGAAGUAAAUUGUGGAUUCUGAUGCCAGCAGUGUUGGUGAAGAAGAAAAAGAAGAGGAAGGAGAAAGAGAAGAAAGAAGAGAAGGAGGGGGAGUAGGAGUAAGAGGAGAAGGAUAAGAAGAAGGAGGGGGAGGAGAAUUGGCAAGCGUUAGAGUCUACAGACAUCUUAGAGGUUAUCUAAUCUGACUAGAGGAUGCGCUGCAAUCUCCUACAUGGUCGACAGUGUUGAUUUAUUUAUUUUUUAAACAUUGUCACAUGACUUUUUAAUACAAAGGCUGUCCAGUUACUGAUGUGCACAGUGGUAAGCAGGGCCUCCUCUGCACAGUUUAACCUAUUUUGUGCUUAAACCCAAGUGUAGUGCUCACGUGGAUGACCCUGUAAAUUCACGGUUUCUGAUAUCAAUUGUCACCUCAAUGUUCCAGCAGUCCUUCUCUUUCUCAGUCCCCUUUCUUUCCCAUUAUUCAUCAGUUUCUUUUUAAACUUUCAACAAUCUCCUUUGAUCCCAACAUCUCCCUUCUUAUUCUUAGCAGAUUCAUUUAUUGAUUUUUCUCAAAAGGUAUUGGUUGAGUACCCACUCCGUGCCAGCCUUCUUCUAGGCGUCGGGGAAGAACAGUGAACAAAC
RNAcentral lists this long non-coding RNA (1490 nucleotides) under Equus asinus (donkey). Its description in RNAcentral is "lncRNA (ENSEASG00005031092.1)". Lineage: Eukaryota; Metazoa; Chordata; Mammalia; Perissodactyla; Equidae. The record is from RNAcentral.